AGAGUUUGAUCCUGGCUCAGGACGAACGCUGGCGGCGUGCCUAACACAUGCAAGUCGAGCGGGGAGAAAUAUUCGUAUUUCUCUUUAGCGGCGGACGGGUGAGUAACACGUGGGUAACCUGCCUCAAAGUGGGGGAUAGCCUUCCGAAAGGAAGAUUAAUACCGCAUAAUAUCAUGGCGCUGCAUGGCGCAGUGAUUAAAGGAGCAAUCCGCUUUGAGAUGGACCCGCGGCGCAUUAGCUAGUUGGUGAGGUAACGGCCCACCAAGGCGACGAUGCGUAGCCGACCUGAGAGGGUGAUCGGCCACAUUGGAACUGAGACACGGUCCAGACUCCUACGGGAGGCAGCAGUGGGGAAUAUUGCACAAUGGGGGAAACCCUGAUGCAGCAACGCCGCGUGAGUGAUGAAGGCCUUCGGGUCGUAAAGCUCUUUGAUCAGGGACGAUAAUGACGGUACCUGAAAAACAAGCCACGGCUAACU
This 478-nucleotide ribosomal RNA is filed under the name Firmicutes bacterium RD1-6. RNAcentral's name for it is "bacterial SSU rRNA". It matches the Rfam family "Bacterial small subunit ribosomal RNA", at positions 8 to 502 of the family's 1533-position model. Lineage: Bacteria; Bacillati; Bacillota. The record is from RNAcentral.